This 540-nucleotide ribosomal RNA is filed under the name Priestia flexa. RNAcentral's name for it is "bacterial SSU rRNA". It matches the Rfam family "Bacterial small subunit ribosomal RNA", at positions 95 to 621 of the family's 1533-position model. The record is from RNAcentral. Lineage: Bacteria; Bacillati; Bacillota; Bacilli; Caryophanales; Bacillaceae.
GCGGCGGACGGGUGAGUAACACGUGGGCAACCUGCCUGUAAGACUGGGAUAACUCCGGGAAACCGGAGCUAAUACCGGAUAACAUUUUUUCUUGCAUAAGAGAAAAUUGAAAGAUGGUUUCGGCUAUCACUUACAGAUGGGCCCGCGGUGCAUUAGCUAGUUGGUGAGGUAACGGCUCACCAAGGCAACGAUGCAUAGCCGACCUGAGAGGGUGAUCGGCCACACUGGGACUGAGACACGGCCCAGACUCCUACGGGAGGCAGCAGUAGGGAAUCUUCCGCAAUGGACGAAAGUCUGACGGAGCAACGCCGCGUGAGUGAUGAAGGCUUUCGGGUCGUAAAACUCUGUUGUUAGGGAAGAACAAGUACAAGAGUAACUGCUUGUACCUUGACGGUACCUAACCAGAAAGCCACGGCUAACUACGUGCCAGCAGCCGCGGUAAUACGUAGGUGGCAAGCGUUAUCCGGAAUUAUUGGGCGUAAAGCGCGCGCAGGCGGUUUCUUAAGUCUGAUGUGAAAGCCCACGGCUCAACCGUGGAGG